GCCUUCGUAGUGUAAACGGUAGCACGCUGGGCUGGCAUUCCAGAGGUCCGUGGUUCGAUUCCCGGCGAAGGCG
Molecule: transfer RNA, 73 nt
Filed under: Stegodyphus dumicola
Lineage: Eukaryota; Metazoa; Arthropoda; Arachnida; Araneae; Eresidae
Description: tRNA-Ala
Rfam family: tRNA
About the family: Transfer RNA (tRNA) molecules are approximately 80 nucleotides in length.
Source: RNAcentral